UAAACAGUCAGAACAUUACUCCUAGGGUGGGAAUUUAAGAUCAGAGGGCAUAGCUUUAAGGUGAAAGGGGCAAAGUUAAAAAAAAUAUGUGCAUGGAAAGAUGUUAACACAGAGGAAGGUGGGUGCCUGCACCACAUUAGUGAGAUGUGGAGGGAGAUGUACUAUGGCUAUUUCAGAAGCUUUCAGAUGGGCACAAAGAUAUGCAGGGAAUGGAAGGGUAAUGACAUGUAUAGUCGGAAUUAGCAUCAUAUUGGCAUGGACAUUGUGGGCCGAAGGGCCUGUUCCUGUGCUGCACUGUUCUAUGUAGAAACAUGGAACUGCAGAUGCUGGUUUAAAAAAACAGACACAAAGUGAUGGAAUAACUCAGAGGGUUGAGCAGCAUCCCUAGACAACUGGGAAAAGGUGACAUUUGGGAUCAGAAGUCUGAAUAAGAUUCCUGACCCAUAGCGUCCCCAAUUCAUGUUCUCCACGGAUGCUGCCCCACCUGCUGAGUUACUCCAGCACUUUAUGUCCAUACUGUUCAAUGUGCUCUGAUCUACAGCCUCAGACAGCUGUUUGUCAGACUUUCUUUGUCACCCAUCCUUUGUCUGCAGAGAUGCAGCCUGACCUGCUGUGUUACUCCAGCACUUUGUGUUUGCCUUUUGUCAUGGACUUUGAUAUCUUCUGUCAAUGGGAAACAUUCAAAGACAUUCAAUAAGUUAAUGAAACAAUAAAGGUUUUAAAUUUGUUUAAAAGUUGAUAAUUUAAAAUAUUUUUAAAAUAGUUAAAAACAUCAGAGCAAUUUUAUGGUCACCUUUCAUUGAUUCAUUACAAGUAUAGUAUGGUGCAACACAACUUUGGAAUUAAAUCGAUUUACGAACAGGGUGAUGGGUGUGGUGAGAAACUAAGCAGGUAUAUCAACACGUUUUGGACUUUUCUUUUUUUAAUUUUUUAUUAUUAUUUUUCGUUUUUGUCUUCUUAUUUUUUUUAAGUUCUUACUUACUCACUCUUUGGUAGUUUAGGGGUUUACACUUUCACUAUUUCUUUUACUUUCUCUCUUUCUUGCUCUCUUUCUCUUUUUCUAUUUCAUUCUUGUCAAAUUAAAAUGGAAGAUGUACAAUAAUUGUAUUUUGUCAUAUGCUGCGGUUUAUACUAAUGUACACUGCUUCUAAUAAAAAUAUUAAUUAAAAAAAAACCUCAACAUUAUAUUCAACUAAUUAAAAGUAAAUGUAAAUGAACACAUUUUUCCCUUUACUCUUGCAGCUGUUCCUUUCCAUUGAAUUAAAUUAAUUCACUGUCCUUGUGCCAGGUCUAAGCUGGCACAGAAGUGGCAUACUUAACCAACUCCAUAGUACUGCUGACACUUUCCAAAAAACAAUGAGAACAUUGGGAGGGAACUGCACAAUCAACUUAUGUUUCCUUGAGCUCAGAAAAGUAUUUUCAAAUGUUAAGAAGAUACUUGAAUACAUGCUGAGCAAUGAGGGGCAGCACAGUGGUGCAGCAGUUACAGCUCCAGAGUUGUGGGUUCGAUCCUGACUAUGGAUGCUGUCUGUAUAGGAUUUGUAUGUUUUCCCUAUCAUCCCGUGAGUUUUCUCCAGAUGCUCCGGUUUCUUCUCGCACUCCAAAGACGUAUAGGUUAAUUGGCUUUGGUAAAAUUGUAAUUUGUCCCUAGUUGGUAGGAUAGUGUUAGUGUACGAGGUGAUCGCUGGUCGGUUUGGACUCAGUGGGCCGAAAGGCCUGUUUCCACACUGUAUCUCUAAAUUCUAAAGUCUACGGGACCUGCAACUUUUUACCCACAUCUUUUUAACAGUAGAAUGAUUGGCGGGCAAAAAGAAUGGUGCAGGUCGACAAUUAACGAUGAAGAUGCAAUGUGAAGAAUUUCAGCCUUUCUUUUUAAAUUAUGUGGUUAAUCUUCCGACUUCUUGAUUUGACUCCUGGAAAUUCUGGGACAAUCUGCGCAAAAAAUUUGAAGUCAGAAAAUGAUGUCAAGAAGAACAAAGAUUUUUUUUUCUCUUUUCCUGUUUGUGAUGAAAUGUGCCAUUAUCAUGUUAAUGCAGUGCAGAUGAGAUCUUAGCUUUUCUCUGGUUCUGUUUUUUUUUUGUUGAGAAUCGUGAGAGGCUCCAUUCUGUGAUACAACACAUGUGGUGACAUCCAACGCCAGUACUGACUGCCCAGGGGAUACUCAACAAGCAACUGCUUUCAGCCCUGCUAAACUGAAACAUGACAGGUGGGCCUGCUAAAGCAUUCCUUUAAUUUCCAUCAUCCCUUUCAAUACCUAUUGUAGGAUUAAUCAUGAAUCGGUGGAAAUGAUAAACCAGUAUGUAAUGCCGUCUCCUGGAGAGUGGAGAAUAUGAGUUACUGGCGAAGUACAAAAAAAUACAGUCAAAAAUAAUAGAGGAAGUUCUAACGGUAUUUCCAUGAGGUUCUAAUUGAAAACAGUAGGAAUGGCUCCAUUUAAGAUUUAAUAAUGCGUACAUGUUUGACUGGCCACUUAUUUUAACCCUUCGAGUAAUGAAAUAUAAUGUCAUUAAUUUUACAUUUACAGUAUAAAACUAAUUUGUAUGCAUUCCUUAAGUGAUCUAAUGGAGUGGCCAGUGCCCACCCUGUUAAUACAAAGGACUCCCAGGUCGGGCCAUUCUUUAAUUACACCAGGGAUACUGUUGAUCAAUCUAGGAUUAUAGGGCUGACGGAUAAAAGGAUGGAAACAUUGAGAACAAAAGUUGAGGGACGUCUGGCACCAAGAUGUGUUGAUGAUGUCUAUGCAGAUGUUACUGGGCUACAUUUUUCUACCCAGCCAAAAGGGAGAUAUUAAACGGGAGCCUUGUUGCAAGUGGAUCUGUAAAGAUAGAACAACACUAUUAUUCUAAAUGAGCAAAGCUGUUUUUAACAACAUUCAUCCACUCAGUGUUCAGAGGCACUGUUCAACAGGGUAUUUGGAUAAGAAGUAAGUCAGAAGCCAGCCAGCAGCAUUCUGACUGGUUGCAUCGUGACCUGGUUCGGCAAUUUGAACGUCCAGGAGCGAAAAAGACUACAAAAUGUUGUGACCACUGCCCAGUCCAUCACCGGCUUUGACCUCCCCACCGUCGAAGGGAUCUAUCAUAGUCGCUGCCUCAAAAAGGCAGCCAAAAUCAUCAAGGACCCACACCAUCCUGGCCACACAAUCAUCUCACCACUGCCAUCAGGAAGAAGGUACAGGAGCCUGAAGACUGUAACAUCCAGGUUCAGGAACAGCUUCUUCCACACAGCCAUCAGGUUAUUAAACACAACGAAUAAGCUAUGAGCUCUGAUCUGCAAAAUACUGUA
Leucoraja erinaceus (little skate) is the source of this 3282-nucleotide long non-coding RNA. RefSeq lists it as uncharacterized. The transcript has 3 exons. Lineage: Eukaryota; Metazoa; Chordata; Chondrichthyes; Rajiformes; Rajidae. The record is from RefSeq and is a predicted model, not a curated record.